GCCUGUAAAGGGGGUAGGUUUGUGUGUGUGUUUUAUUAGUGUGAGACUUUUUGUAAUUCAAAGGAGAAAGUGUGGGACAUGGGAAUAGUCUUCUAGGGACUUUAUGACCUCCGUCUAUUACAAUGUCAGCAUAAAAUUCCUUAUAUCUUUAUGGUACUUGCGACUUUUAUAUUGUACUAUAAUUCUGUACCCACUUUGAGGUAUUCUAUUCACUGUGGUGAAUUUUAUUCCCAAGUGCUGGGAAGAAAUAACAGUGUGCUCUGAGAUGACCCAACUCCUUCAGUAUAAUACUGGUAGACAAAUUAUUAGCAUCUUUUCCAUGCAACAUUCCUUACACCUUGUACAUAAGCUGCAUGCAUUUUUUUUUCCCAUAAUGCAGAAUCCUGGGAAAUAGCCUAUGUCUUGCGGGGAAAAAAAAAUGCCAGAGUGCCUUGAAGUCCAGAUCAACACAGACUGGUGAUCCUACUACCUGCCACCUACAGAGCUGCUUUUUGGAUCAGUUCUCCCUGGAAAGAGCCAUCCUCAAUCCUGAUAAAAGGUAAUUCUGAACAGUACGAGUGAAGGGAAGACAUACUUCUGUGGAAUGCAAGCACAAAUGAGGAAAAAUGUGUGUGGUAAGUUCUAAGAGAGAAUAAGCUUGGUUCACACAGAAAUGCAGUUUUUACAUACAUUAUCAUGGAUGAACAAAGGAAGAAGGGGAUUUGAUAAAUUAUAAAUGUCUAUACAUGUAACAGCUUACUGCAGUAUCUGGGAAGUUUGCGAUGUUUGUUGGAACAAGUCAACAAGUGACAAAUAUGGGUAGAAUGCAAGAGACAGAUUAAAGCUCGUAAUACAAAAGUAAUUUACUAUGCUGAAUAAACAUCAUAAAUCAUAAUAUAGGAACAUUUCUCAACCAAGCAGAUUCAAUAUUCCUUUCUUAUGUUCUACCUCUUCUAAAAACCUAGAAUAAUCUUUUCAGUGUUCUGCACUUCUUAUUAUGAAUUUUUGCCACAUAUCCAGUUUAAUUUGUCCAUAUACCAUAUAUCUUCUUAAAUAACAGAUUCCUUUUUUUCCUUCUUCCUCCAUUACUUAAAACUUAUCACCUCUUUUCUAACCACGGUUGACUUUUGACCGAGACGAGCCUCCCAAGUACUGAAAAAUAUCUGAAAUCCUUCUCUGCCUCUUAUAAAAGUGGUAUGUUGCUAAUUCACAGGAUCUUUCUAAAUUUGAAUGAGACCUUGGCUUUCAUCAGUUCUGUUUCAGUGAAAGCAACCUCUUGCUCAAAGAUGAGUAGCC
This 1275-nucleotide long non-coding RNA is filed under the name Gallus gallus (chicken). The record is from RNAcentral. Lineage: Eukaryota; Metazoa; Chordata; Aves; Galliformes; Phasianidae.